GCUGUACACAUCCAUACACAACAGACACACAUUAUAAUAUGGUGCUGUACACAUCCAUACACAACAGACACACAUUAUAAUAUGGUGCUGUACACAUCCAUACACAACAGACACAUUCUAAUAUGGUACUGUACACAUCCAUACACAACAGACACACAUUCUAAUAUGGUACUGUACACAUCCAUCCACAACAGACACAUUCUAAUAUGUUACUGUACACAUCCAUACACAACAGACACAUUCUAAUAUGGUACUGUACAGAUCCAUACACAACAGACACAAUCUAAUAUGUUACUGUACAGAUCCAUACACAACAGACACAUUCUAAUAUUGUACUGUACACAUCCAUACACAACAGACACAUUGUAAUAUGUUACUGUACACACCCAUACACAACAGACACAUUCUAAUAUGAUUCUGUACACAUCAAUACACAAAAGACACAUUCUAAUAUGGUACUGUACACAUCCAUACACAACAGACACACAUUCUAAUAUGGUACUGUACCCAUCCAUACACAAAAGACACAUUCUAAUAUGGUACUGUACACAUCCAUACAAAACAGACACAUUCUAAUAUGGUACUGUACACAUCCAUACACAACAGACACAUUCUAAUAUGGUACUGUACACAUCCAUACACAACAGACACAUUCUAAUAUGUUGCUGUACACAUCCAUACACAACGAGACACAUUAUAAUAUGUUACUGUACACAUCCACACACAACAGACACAUUCUAAUAUGUUACUGUACAGAUCCAUACACAACAGACACAUGCUAAUAUGUUACUGUACACAUCCAUACACAACAGACACAUUCUAAUAUGGUACUGUACACAUCCAUACACAACAGACACAUUCUAAUAUGGUACUGUAAACAUCCAUACACAACAGACACAUUCUAAUAUGUUACUGUACACAUCAAUACACAACAGACACAUUCUAAUAUGUUACUGUACACAUCCAUACACAACAGACACACAUUCUAAUAUGGUACUGUACACAAACAGCCAUAAUUGUAAGGCUAAAACAGUCCAAUGAGGGGUGUGGUCAGCGUAGCUGUAUGACGUGGUGGGUUGAUAGAAACAGAAACAGCACACCAGGAACUAACAAACCAACUGCACAAGCAGCUUUACUAGUUCCACAUUUUCUGGUUGAGACAAAAUGAGCCCCCCAGGGCUGAAAAGAGACAGAU
RNAcentral lists this long non-coding RNA (1195 nucleotides) under Salmo salar (Atlantic salmon). RNAcentral's name for it is "lncRNA (ENSSSAG00000114182.1)". The record is from RNAcentral. Lineage: Eukaryota; Metazoa; Chordata; Actinopteri; Salmoniformes; Salmonidae.